CAGAGCAAGUCCUAUACGACCAGCUCCCUCUGAACUCCCCCAGGUCUUGACCGAAGCAAGGGUAGGAGGUUGUAGCGGUGCGAUGUAGUCAGCUUGCUCU
This 100-nucleotide signal recognition particle RNA is filed under the name bovine gut metagenome. RNAcentral describes it as "Bacteroidales small SRP". It matches the Rfam family "Bacteroidales small SRP", at positions 8 to 103 of the family's 107-position model. From Rfam's summary of the family: The non-coding component of the signal recognition particle in Bacteroides RNAcentral also lists the same sequence under 1 other name. The record is from RNAcentral.